UUUCCGUAGGUGAACCUGCGGAAGGAUCAUUAUUGUAUAACCGAGAUGCGAGGGCUGUCGCUGACCCGAAAGGUCGUGCACGCCCGAGUGCCCUCACACACAUCCAUCUCACCCCUAUGUGCACCACCGCGUGGGUCCCCCUUUGGCUUGUUCGGAGGGGGGCUUACGUUUUCACACAAACUUUGUAUGCAGUGUAGAAUGUAUUUUUGUUUUUGCGAUCACGCAAUCAAUACAACUUUCAACAACGGAUCUCUUGGCUCUC
This 262-nucleotide unclassified non-coding RNA is filed under the name plant metagenome. Its description in RNAcentral is "partial contains small subunit ribosomal RNA, internal transcribed spacer 1, and 5.8S ribosomal RNA". The record is from RNAcentral.